Molecule: long non-coding RNA, 295 nt
Filed under: Sorghum bicolor (sorghum)
Lineage: Eukaryota; Viridiplantae; Streptophyta; Magnoliopsida; Poales; Poaceae
Description: long non-coding RNA (SBIC_LNC002250)
Source: RNAcentral
CCGUCUAUGGUGGAAACCAUUGUAGAUGUGCCUUCACCAAACCAAGUUGUCGAUGAUAGUCCUCAAAGACCCAGCUACCAGACACGAGUAUUUAUCCCAUAUAGUGUUGAUGAUGCCUCAAUAGGAUGGUUAGAGACAUGCUUUAGAAGGCCACGUCUCUAAUCAUCACCCUCGACCACAUACAUGCAUCUCUAUUGUGGCGCCAGCAAUUUGGAAGACAUUAUGUAAGCCCCACUUAUCGGAGAGGCAACUAGAUUGAUGAGACACAUCUCUAGACAUAUUGACACGAGCGGUG